RNAcentral lists this ribosomal RNA (233 nucleotides) under uncultured bacterium. Its description in RNAcentral is "partial 16S ribosomal RNA". It matches the Rfam family "Bacterial small subunit ribosomal RNA", at positions 15 to 236 of the family's 1533-position model. The record is from RNAcentral.
GAUCCUGGCUCAGGAUGAACGCUAGCUACAGGCUUAACACAUGCAAGUCGAGGGGAAACGACAUCGAAAGCUUGCUUCCGAUGGGCGUCGACCGGCGCACGGGUGAGUAACGCGUAUCCAGCCUGCCCACCACUUGGGGAUAACCUUGCGAAAGUAAGACUAAUACCCAAUGAUAUCUCUAGAAGACAUCUGAAAGAGAUUAAAGAUUUAAUCGGUGAUGGAUGGGGAUGCGU